This is an RNA transcript of Cimex lectularius (bed bug), 3903 nucleotides long. It is a transcript of the gene named GPI inositol-deacylase, with no coding region annotated. The record is from RefSeq and is a predicted model, not a curated record. Lineage: Eukaryota; Metazoa; Arthropoda; Insecta; Hemiptera; Cimicidae. The transcript has 17 exons.
GUGCAGUCUCCGAUAACGCGAUAGUCUUUUCUUAGAGUUUCAGAAGGGAAAUGUGUUUAAAAAGGAGUAAUUUUAUUAAAGCCAAUUUAACGUUAAUACCGUGAUGAUUUUGUUUUAAGAUCGAGAAUCUGUUUUUUGUUUUGUUCUGUCAAAAAGUGUAGCAUUGUACUUGCAAUCGAAUGAUUUAAUUUACAUCCUCACAGCAGAUUUUUCAAGAAAACACACAAAAAAAUUUUCGUUACAUUUAAUUUGUGAAAGCUUAAAACAGUUAGGGAUGAGUUCGAAAGUUCGAAUAUGACCGGUCGAUUGUGAUAAAAGCGCCUGCGCUGUCGUCAGUAUCGUAAUCGUCUCUGCUGAGUGUGUCCUGCGACUUGCGAGACUGCGACCAGUCGCCGUCAGCAUCGCAACCGACCGUCGUUGUACGCGCGUCCGACGCGAGGAGGGACUUCGCAACUUUGCAGCUGCGAUGAAAACAACUUAGCCGACCCACGUGUGACAGAGUGCGAACCGCGAGCCAUGGGCCUCAGAAUCGGCUUCGUCCUCUUCACCGGCGUCUUCUUGCUCUUCUUCUCCGCCGGACUAUACAACUUCUUAACAGACUACGAGGAGAACCGAUGCAACAUGACAUACAUGUACAUGUACCCACAACUGAUCAGGAUCUCCCUCCCGGUCAAUGUCACAGCCGCUUACAAAAAAUACGGCCUGUAUGCCUACUCAGAAGGAAAGUUCAUCGAGAAGACCAGGGAGAUGAAAUUCACCGGCAUACCCGUCCUCUUCAUACCAGGAAACCGUGGUUCUCCUAAACAAGUUCGCUCACUUGCAUCAGUCAGCCUGAGAAAAUCACUUGCCACAAGAAGCCCAUUCCAUUUUGACUAUUUUGCGAUUGACCUCAACGAAGACCUCAACGCACUGUUCGGAGGAUUUCUUGAAGAACAAACCAAAUUUGUCAAAAUCUGCAUGAGCAGGAUUCUUUCACUAUACCGAGAAGAGAGCCAGCCUUCUUCAAUCGUCCUUAUCGGCCAUUCUAUUGGAGGAGUUAUCGCAAAAGGACUCUUCCUUGAGCCAGGUUUCGAUCCGUCACUAGUCAAGAUCAUAAUUACUUUAGCAACACCGCACAUGCCAGCAAUCCUACCUGACCUCUACCUGGCACAAUACUAUGAAAAAGUGAACAACUACUGGGAUAACAGUCCACAUUUGAAAGAAAAAAUAAACUUUUUGUCGAUUGGUGGUGGCCCCAGGGAUCUACUCGUACGGACAAACUUGACUGUUACACCUCACGCUGAUAUCAGUGUUGUUACAUCUUUGAUACCUGAAGUGUGGCUCUCAGUUGACCAUCUUUGUAUUUUGUGGUGUCGGGAACUGAUUAUUGUAAUUGUCAGGUCUCUUUUUGACAGUGUAGACCUUAAAACUAAACAAAUCACAGAUGAUGUUGCCCUCAGGAAAGAUAUUUUUGAGUAUCACUUUUUAGAAAGAAGUGGUUCCAAGAGGUUUCAUUCAGCCCGAUACCCAUCAGAAGUGAUUUUAUACAACAAUAAAAUGCAGCACAGUUGGAUUCCGAUGGUCGGGAGUCACAUGACAUGGUUUGAAAAGUACGUCGAUAAAACGACUCACAUAACUGUAUCCCUCGCAACCGCCGCUGACACUUUGGCAGUUUUGACAGAAAACCAUGAAAACCGCGAUUGGAUAUUUGCUUGCGUUGUUGAUACCACUGUAAACCGCAUGAGGAUUUGCAAAACGGCGACCAAUUUGUCAGGGAAAGCUAAAAUAUCACUGACCUCAAAGAAGAAAAGAAAAUCAGCACUGAUUGAUCUUUCACAUUUACGAAUGACAGGCUAUUCGCAUGUAGUCAUUAGAACACUUCCAAAUAGUGAAGAAGUCAAAAUCUCUUUGGACUUGUUCAAAAAACGGGCUCGUACGAUCGAAGGGUCUAUGGAUUAUCUUCCAAGCACUGUCGUCCUAGAAGAGAACAGCUGGGGAGCGCUUUAUUACGCCGUUGAGAUGUCGAGCCUGCAGAAAAUCUGGCAGACGUACGUAUUCAGCAUCAGUUCGAAAAACUGCACUUCUCCAGAUCUCGCCGAAGUCUACGUCAACGUCCCUUGGAACCACGAAGGCUCAAAGCUUCUAAUUAACGGAUCAAGCGGUUUGGUACCAGUUUUCUUGCAUUCUUCAAAACCAGUAGGGAAAGAUGUUGGAAAUGUAAAAGUCGAAUUCUUUCUCAAUCAUCAAUGUGCUUACAGAAUAAAGUUGAGCAGAACGUUCCUACCUGGAAUAAGCGCUGUAAUUUCAAAACAGGGCAUUUCCGUGUUCACUUAUGUGUCUGUCUGUCUCCUCCUAACGCUUGCUUACCAGAUCAAAUCUAUGAAGGAAAAUCUCAGCUGUCCGCUUUUGCAUACGGCGAUGCCUUUGGCGGGCAAGCCUUACAUCGUGAUGCAAGCCUCCGCCAUAACGACGGCGAUAGCACAGCACUUUGCGAACUACAUUCCGUUCAUCCCAUCAAUCGACACGAGAAACAACAGCGGGAUGAUAGAAAUGCUUGUCAUUCCUGUCGCUCUGUAUUUGGUCGCUUUUUGUUUAACUUACAUUGUCGGGUUAGGAUUGAUUGUUGGUAUCGUGUUUCAAGGGCAAGCUUACAACGGGAUUAUUUUAAAGUUUUUGAGUAAGUUUUUCUUUGGUUUGGCUUGGCUGUCUGAGUACGCACUGAGCGGAGCGAUCAAAGUGCCGCUUGUUGUGUCCGCUUUUAUGAUGACUGUCGCUUAUACAGCUUGUGGGGGUUUGGCGGUUUGCAUCGGCUUGGGAUUCUAUUGCUUUAAGAUGAUAACUCUGUACGAGGACUUUUGGGAGGAGAUCGUCUACUGGCCGCUCAGGGCUCUUAAAGCCAAACUUAAACAGAGGAAGGACAAGUCGGUUGAAAUUCCAACGUUCCAGAUCCCUUCUAUAGACGACAUCAGCUUUCAUUUGACGCUACUGAUGCUCUGGACACAAGUUGCUAUUAUAAACGUACCCAGCGUGCUCGUCUGGGCUAAAAACUACAGAUACAGUUCGAAACUCGAUCCAGAUCCUGGGUACAUAAAUUGUGUUAUUUUGACAAUAUGUGCAGGUGUUCUAUGGCAGUCUGAAUUCCCAAGGACAGGACUGGCUGGGAGCAAAACCGUGAGUCACUUUGUAUUCACAUCGGCAGUACUCGUCAUGAUUUUUGCCCAAACAUCAUUAUACCGAUUAUCAACGAUAAUAACAGUUAACAUAGCUCUAGUCACACUCCAUCAGAUUAUUGCACCUUGGUUCACCAAAGAAAUCAAUGAAGAGGACGAGCCUCCUGAGCUUGUGGGCGUACCGGAAGAAGGCGUUGAACUCAAGUCUCAGCUGGCUGAGAUUUUCCAGGGAACAGAUCUCGCCAGUAAUAUUGAUGCUCCUUCUUCCCUUGUCUCAGAGAUCAAAGAAUCCAAGGAAGAUGGACAGAAAAAUGAAGACACCGGAGAGAAAGACGGCGAAAUAACCCCUUCGAGUGACACUUCGACAUCUUCCUUUGAACAAAUAUCCGAAAAGGAGGUUUAAUAAAGUUGUAAAUACCGUUUAAUUCUAGUCAAUCGAAUCUUCAAAAUACGUGAAGUGAGAAAUGAGAAAACAAAGGAUUUCUGUGAUAGCAAAAUAAAUACCAUUGACAAAACACUAAAAAUGAUGAAAUUUAUUGGUUGAGCAAACAAGAUAAAAUUAUAAUAAAACUCAAUCUACAUGCUCGACGGUCCAGAUUUCAACGUAGAAAUAUAUAUACAAGUGAAUUUUUUUUUUCCGGUGUUUUGGACGGGUACAAUUUUUUAAAAUUUAUUUUGGAUACUCAUAAAUUUAUUAUGCUCCUGUACUAUGUGACUUUUGAAGCCUUUUUAUAAUAAACUUUUAAAAAGAAAA